UGCUACGGCCAUGCCACCCUGAAUGGGCCCAAUCUCGUCUGAUCUAGGAAGCUAAGCAGGGUCAGGCCUGGUUAGUACUUGGAUGGGAGACCGCCUAGGAUAUACCAGGUGCUGUAGGUG
Molecule: ribosomal RNA, 120 nt
Filed under: Pteropus alecto (black flying fox)
Lineage: Eukaryota; Metazoa; Chordata; Mammalia; Chiroptera; Pteropodidae
Source: RNAcentral